Molecule: long non-coding RNA, 474 nt
Organism: Bubalus bubalis (water buffalo)
Lineage: Eukaryota; Metazoa; Chordata; Mammalia; Artiodactyla; Bovidae
Exons: 2
Source: RefSeq, a predicted model, not a curated record
GGCACGCUCCUGGGCUCCCCAAGUCUCCAAGACUAAGGCGCGAGAUGCGCGGCUUCGCCAAUGGUCGGUGCUCCCUUGCUUUUUCUCUUCCUUCCUCCCGGCGCCGGCGGUGAUAGCAGGAAUUGUUAGCAGCUGGAGCUGCAGAAGCAGCAGCAACAGCGGCCAGAGGAGCCGCCUCCUCGGUCCAGGGCACCCGAACCUUGAUCCCGGAGCUGCUGAAAAGUUGGACAGCUCCUGACUGAGAUUCUUCCAGAUUUACCAUUAUUCUGAGGAUGAAGUCUAAAAGGCUCAUCUUGGCCAUCAAGGACCCAAACAAGAUGGUCAGAAACUACGGUUGCAGCCCUUCACUGUCUCCAAAGAUGACAUGCUAAUGUCUAGUUUCUGGCGUUCAACUCUAUUUGGAGUUUCUCCCAUCUUCAGCUUGGUCCACCUUCCACUUAUUCAACUUCAACCCAACUGCAAUUUAAUCCAAAA